UGAGCAAUCUGCCCUUCUCAUCGGAAUAAGCGUUGGAAACGACGUCUAAUGCCGAAUACGACCUCCUUUCGCAUGAUCGGAGGUGGAAAGCUCCGGCGGAGAAGGAUGAGCUCGCGGCCUAUCAGCUAGUUGGUGUGGGUAAUGGCCCACCAAGGCGACGACGGGUAGCCGGCCUGAAAGGGUGACCGGCCACACUGGGACUGAGACACGGCCCAGACUCCUACGGGAGGNAGCG
This 235-nucleotide ribosomal RNA is filed under the name uncultured bacterium. RNAcentral describes it as "partial 16S ribosomal RNA". It matches the Rfam family "Bacterial small subunit ribosomal RNA", at positions 118 to 353 of the family's 1533-position model. The record is from RNAcentral.